CCUGACAGCGGGGGAGAGCUGUGGAACCGUAUCUAGAGAGGUGAAAUUCAGAAACGGUGUUGUGGCGGGGCGCGGCGAAGGCGUCCGCCCAACACCUGUGUUCCGCUGAAGAUCGAAAGUUUAAGGAUCAAAGGCGAUUAGAUACCGCCGUAGUUGUCACCGUAAACCAUGCCGACCGGUUAUUCGCAUCAGUUUACGGUAGAACACUGUGAGCGACCAGACGGGAAGCCAGAGUCCUAAGGCUCCUGGGGGAGUAUGGUCGCAAGGCUGAAACUUAAAGGAAUUGACGGAAUGACACCACCAGGAGUGGAGCCUGCGGCUUAAUUUGACUCAACGCGGGGAAACUUACCCGGCCUGGACACUGCUAACGACUGACAGGCUGAGAGACCUUUCUCGAUGCGGUGGAUGGUGGUGCAUGGCCGUUCCUGGUUGGUGGAGUGAUCUGUCUGGUCAAUUCCGAUAACGAACGAGACUCUAGCCUGCUAACUAGCCGAGCGACGAACCGGUUAACCAAACCCGGCGUCGCCCGCACUUCUUAGAGGGACAAACGGCCCCGAGCCGUAUGAAAUAGGGCAAUAACAGGUCUGUGAUGCCCUUAGAUGUUCGGGGCCGCACGCGUGCGACAAUGGUGGAACGAGCGCGUGUCCGUCCAAUCCUGGUCCAAGCGGACACGGUGAACCGCUCAAUCUCUUCCGUACUCGGGACUGAGGUGUGGAACCCUUCUCACGAACGAGGAAUUCCUAGUAGGUGCGGGUCACUCAUCUUGCGCCGACUACGUCCCUGUCCUUUGUACACACCGCCCGUCGCUACUACCGAUUGAAUGAUUUAGUGAGACUAUCGGACCGGACCCCACGCUCGCGUGGGCCAAGGGAAGAUGACCAAACUGUACCAUUUAGAGGAAGUAAAAGUCGUAACAAGGUUUCC
Molecule: ribosomal RNA, 924 nt
Filed under: Hanseniella n. sp. GG-2000
Lineage: Eukaryota; Metazoa; Arthropoda; Symphyla; Scutigerellidae
Description: bacterial SSU rRNA
Rfam family: Eukaryotic small subunit ribosomal RNA
Source: RNAcentral